This is a non-coding RNA of Pelobates cultripes (western spadefoot toad), 251 nucleotides long. NCBI's taxonomy places the organism in Eukaryota, Metazoa, Chordata, Amphibia, Anura, Pelobatidae. The record is from the annotation of a GenBank genome assembly.
CGAUGACAAGUACCAACCUGCGACAUUUACGCCAAGACAGCAAAGAGUUAAAAAAAAAAAAAGCACCAACAUUUCGGCUAAACUUGAGAUUUUAUGGCUCUCGGCUGUUUAAGACUAAAUUUUGCGAAUCAGCCAUCAAGUCGCCACAAUUUGUUAUAUAGUAAAUUAACCCCAUCGCAUGCAGGAGACAUUUCAUUGGCCUGCUCAGUACAAUCUGUAUCUAGACCAGAGACAAAGAAUCUAGAACAAUG